Phoenix dactylifera (date palm) is the source of this 3399-nucleotide non-coding RNA. NCBI's taxonomy places the organism in Eukaryota, Viridiplantae, Streptophyta, Magnoliopsida, Arecales, Arecaceae. The record is from RefSeq and is a predicted model, not a curated record.
AUUAUUAUCCCAAUUACUGACAAUUCCAUGCUCAAUAGGGUAUUUCAAAGUCAAAAUAUCUCAAUUUGUCUACCAGACUCUCUACUGAUCAAGGCAUGCAAGUCCCUGGCCCCUACCCUCGACCUUCCAGUCAAAGCCCAGACCAAUCUGUCCAGCCCCAGCCUGGAGGGGAUAGGUAGGGUCAUGAUCCUCUUAGCCAUCGACUCCUUAAAGGCCUUCCGGACCGCCACCUCACUCCACCUGCCCUCUCCGGAAAUAAACAGGUCACAGACUCUGCAUCCCGCCAACCUCGCCGAAUCCACCAGCAUUGGCAUACGACGGAGCGGAAACUCGGUCACCCAUCUGUCCUCCAGCACAUUAAUGGAUCGCCCAUCGCCGAUGGCCCAUCUGGUCGUAGGGAGCACCAACGGGGCCCGAGCGCCAAUCUCCCUCCAUAUAAAGGAACACCUGUGCCAUGCUCUGACAUCUUCCACUGCCGAUAGGCUACCAUACUUGGCUCUCAGGAGGGAACAUCAUGAAUUGUCAGGCUCCAGAAUGAACCUGGCUGCAUGUCUCGCUGCGAGUACCUCUCGCCUUGCCACCAAGAAAUGCACCCCUAAUCUGCCACAUCUAACUGGCUCACAAAUCACCUCCCAUGAUACUAGGUGGAUGCCCCCUCUACCACCGUUUGCCCCAAAUGAAAUCUCUGAAAAGCUGCUCAAGCGAUCUCAGUGGCAUUAAAGGCAGGAUGGUGUUGGAUAACAAAUACACCAGUAUCGAACUGAGCACCGAACAAUACUAGGUUGACUCUGCCCAUCAUGGAAAGAGCAUCCAUCUAUCGGCCCUCAAGCCUAUGCCUAAUGCUCUGCUCCAUGGAGGAACAAUCUCUGCUGCGAAUACGCUGGCCAGUGAUAGGCACAUCCAAAUAUCUUAGAACACCGUCCUGCUUAUCCAGCCUCAGAAUCUCCUUGAUAUAGGAGAGGUUGAGAAAAUUGGAGGGCUUUUAUUUAGGUUUUAUGAUACAAGAGAGGUUGAGAAAAUUGGGGUACUUUAUUUUGAUUCUCUUCUUUGGAAGCACUAUAGUUUUAAUGCUCCAAUUUUUAUUAUUCAAGACAUUAUUAAACACCUCUACAAUGUUGGUGUAGCGAUGGAUGCAAUUUUUAUUAUUAAACACCUCUAUAACGAAGUCGUUGUGGUUGGACAAUCUGCAGGCAUAGUGAUGGAGGCUGUAGGAUUUAGGAAUCGAACAACUUAUAGUCUUAUUAUACCCAUCAACAUGAGUUGCUUGGUCACAAGUAGGGUGAGGUCUAGGUUUGGGUAAAUCUAGACCUAACCCUAGAUCUAGGUCUUUUUCCAUACCCUGCACAAGGAUCAGGUUGGGUUCGGGUCUGGAGAAAAUAACAUCAUUUCACAUUAGAGUUUUCAAGUCGAGUUCGGCGGCAUUCACACUUUGAGCUGGGAUUCUCGCUCGCAUUUUUUGCUAUGGUGGGCCCUCCUCAAUCACGGUUGUCGUCGCAUACAGGGACGGUUGUGAUUAGUAAAUAGGCCCUCUCUAGUCAAUCAACCAAAUGGAGAGGAUCUGAAUUUUGACACUUUAAUAAAAAUUUAUUCAUAAAACGUCCAAUUAUAUGCUGCAAAAAUUAAAUCCUAAGAAGCACUUGGUAGUUGAUUAUACGACGGACAUUGGCAAAAAAAAUUUAAAUACACUUAAUCCAAAGUUAAGUACAAACACCAUAACAUGUUUAAUGUGAUUUGUUUUAUCAUUUAUACUUUGUUAAGUUAUAGUAUUAAGUUUCAUAUGUUAAGAAUUUAGAAAUAGAAAGAUAUGUAAAUAAAACUAGAAUUAUAUAUAUAAAUUAAUCCAGUAAUUAGCUGGAACCAGAUUAGGUUAGGUCUAAAAAUCUCGAAACUAGAUCUCACCCUAAUUUUCAAUGAAUUCGGCUUCAGAUCCAUACCACCCCAUUUAGGAGUGGUCAAUGUUGCGUUCAUAUCAAGGUUGGGUCAAGGCUGUGUCAGAAAUCAAGUUUGCAUGUUGGAGUAAGUGACCAGUACCCUAGGCACAAACCAGCCAUAUAUUUGAAAUGGGUCCUAGCGUACUGAACUCUUUACUUUCCUAGAAAAAAUCCCUUUCUACUUUUGUCUAGAUUGAUUGGGAUAAAAACUUAUUUUCAGAUCUCUCGUUGGGAUGCUCCUUAUUUUUUUAAUCCUUGAACUAUGCAGAGAACAAGACACGAGCAUGUAUUAGACGAGAAAGUAUGACUAGUGAAGGUUAUUAGGCUUAACAAAACUAAUCAGGCUUCGUCUAAUCUUUCUUAAUAAUAAAGAAGAGCAAGUGCAUUUAAGUAUAUAAAAAGCCAACAUAUAGUAUUCAUUUAUAUAUAUAUAAAGAAUAAAUAGAAAGUAGUUCUAUCCUAUUUAACCAGCCACAUGAAUGCGAAAGUUGUAGCUAUCCAAACACGACCAUAGACGGCAUUUAGGUAUGAAGAGAGCUUGAUGAUGGACUAAGAGUUCGAUCACGGAGGAAUAGAGUCAAAUAUAAUAUUCAAUAUAAUAUUAUAUUUCUAUCGAUUGCUUAAAAAAAUAAAUGCUACGAAAUUUUGAACUGAUAUCAAUAAUGUGGAUAGGGCUUGCCAUAUUCUAGUAAAGCUAUGCAGACUUUGUGCACGUUUGCACAUUGAGUACUGUAAAUGUCGGCCAAAUGGACCGACCUCGCCAUAAUCGGCGGUCCAUUUGGAAACCCAAAUUAGUGACCAUGAUCGCCAGCUGUUGAGGCGGUUAUAACCGCCUAACAGCCAUGAUCACCACCCCUCUUCUCUUUCGGCCGAGGGUUAUUAAAGCCCACGGAUCCCUUGCAAAGGAACUCCAUCACUCUCUCAUUUCUUCUCACUCUCUUUUUUUUUUUUUUGCUACAAGGAACUGAAGAGUGGGGAUCUGAGCCGCCGGAGGGAACAUCACAGAGUUGUCCCGGAGCUAGAAAUCAUGUGCUCAUGUAAUAUUUAUUAAUGGAUGCCAUGAACCACAACCUCUUUCUAGCUGCAUCCAAAUACAGUUGGGAUCAAUGCCGUCCAACUCGAUCAUAAGACAUGAUGGCACGAUUUACAAAGCGCAUGCAGUGUUGCUCCAGGACCGAAGGCCCAGAAACGGGCGUACAGUCGGUGAACCCCGAACCCCCUCGCCUCUUCCCAUUACACCCUCCGUUUGCCCAAAACGGGAAGCGGGUUAAAAAAUAAGGGCAAGAAAAAAUAACCUCCGGCAUUUUUGCAUAAAAUUACAAAUACUCCUCUUCAUUUUGCAUAAAUUUGCAAAUACCUUUCUGCAACUUUGAUUGAUGUAAUGUUCACCUUCUAUUUUCUAGAAUGGUUGCAAUAUUAUCUAACGACCUCCUAAUUGGGAUCAGAGCUUGCUUCCGGUGCCUAUGUU